RNAcentral lists this ribosomal RNA (484 nucleotides) under uncultured bacterium. Its description in RNAcentral is "partial 16S ribosomal RNA". It matches the Rfam family "Bacterial small subunit ribosomal RNA", at positions 30 to 507 of the family's 1533-position model. The record is from RNAcentral.
AUUGAACGCUGGCGGAAUGCUUUACACAUGCAAGUCGAGCGGCAGCGCGGCCUUCGGGCUGGCGGCGAGCGGCGAACGGGUGAGUAAUGCAUCGGAACAUGCCCAGUCGUGGGGGAUAACACUUCGAAAGAAGUGCUAAUACCGCAUACGUCCUGAGGGGGAAAGCGGGGGAUCGCAAGACCUCGCGCGAUUGGAGUGGCCGAUGUCAGAUUAGCUAGUUGGUGGGGUAAAGGCCUACCAAGGCGACGAUCUGUAGCUGGUCUGAGAGGAUGAUCAGCCACACUGGGACUGAGACACGGCCCAGACUCCUACGGGAGGCAGCAGUGGGGAAUUUUGGACAAUGGGCGCAACCCUGAUCCAGCCAUUCCGCGUGAGUGAAGAAGGCCUUCGGGUUGUAAAGCUCUUUCGGCAGGAACGAAACGGUGGGCUCUAACAUAGUCCGCUAAUGACGGUACCUGAAGAAGAAGCACCGGCUAACUACGUG